GCCUGGGUGGCUCAGUCGGUUGAGCAUCCGACUUCAGCUCAGGUCAUGAUCUCGCAGUCUGUGAGUUCGAGCCCCGCAUCAGGCU
This 85-nucleotide transfer RNA is filed under the name Felis catus (domestic cat). It matches the Rfam family "tRNA". From Rfam's summary of the family: Transfer RNA (tRNA) molecules are approximately 80 nucleotides in length. Their secondary structure includes four short double-helical elements and three loops (D, anti-codon, and T loops). The record is from Rfam by way of RNAcentral. Lineage: Eukaryota; Metazoa; Chordata; Mammalia; Carnivora; Felidae.